UGGCUCUUCCCAUCAUUGUGAAGCAGAAUUCACCAAGCGUUGGAUUGUUCACCCACUAAUAGGGAACGUGAGCUGGGUUUUGACUGUCGUGAGACAGGUU
RNAcentral lists this non-coding RNA (100 nucleotides) under Salmo salar (Atlantic salmon). Its description in RNAcentral is "Eukaryotic large subunit ribosomal RNA". It matches the Rfam family "Eukaryotic large subunit ribosomal RNA", at positions 2885 to 2984 of the family's 3401-position model. Lineage: Eukaryota; Metazoa; Chordata; Actinopteri; Salmoniformes; Salmonidae. The record is from Rfam by way of RNAcentral.